This 72-nucleotide transfer RNA is filed under the name Erinaceus europaeus (western European hedgehog). It matches the Rfam family "tRNA". From Rfam's summary of the family: Transfer RNA (tRNA) molecules are approximately 80 nucleotides in length. Their secondary structure includes four short double-helical elements and three loops (D, anti-codon, and T loops). The record is from Rfam by way of RNAcentral. Lineage: Eukaryota; Metazoa; Chordata; Mammalia; Eulipotyphla; Erinaceidae.
GGGGAGUUGGACCAGUGGGUAGAGCAUCUGCCUUGCAUGCAUGAGGCUCUGGGUUCAAUCCCUGGCAUCCCA